This 623-nucleotide ribosomal RNA is filed under the name Salmonella enterica subsp. enterica serovar Enteritidis. RNAcentral's name for it is "partial 23S ribosomal RNA". It matches the Rfam family "Bacterial large subunit ribosomal RNA", at positions 711 to 1331 of the family's 2925-position model. Lineage: Bacteria; Pseudomonadati; Pseudomonadota; Gammaproteobacteria; Enterobacterales; Enterobacteriaceae. The record is from RNAcentral.
AGACCCGAAACCCGGUGAUCUAGCCAUGGGCAGGUUGAAGGUUGGGUAACACUAACUGGAGGACCGAACCGACUAAUGUUGAAAAAUUAGCGGAUGACCUGUGGCUGGGGGUGAAAGGCCAAUCAAACCGGGAGAUAGCUGGUUCUCCCCGAAAGCUAUUUAGGUAGCGCCUCGUGAAUUCAUCUCCGGGGGUAGAGCACUGUUUCGGCUAGGGGGCCAUCCCGGCUUACCAACCCGAUGCAAACUGCGAAUACCGGAGAAUGUUAUCACGGGAGACACACGGCGGGUGCUAACGUCCGUCGUGAAGAGGGAAACAACCCAGACCGCCAGCUAAGGUCCCAAAGUCAUGGUUAAGUGGGAAACGAUGUGGGAAGGCCCAGACAGCCAGGAUGUUGGCUUAGAAGCAGCCAUCAUUUAAAGAAAGCGUAAUAGCUCACUGGUCGAGUCGGCCUGCGCGGAAGAUGUAACGGGGCUAAACCAUGCACCGAAGCUGCGGCAGCGACACUGUGUGUUGUUGGGUAGGGGAGCGUUCUGUAAGCCUGCGAAGGUGGCCUGUGAGGGUUGCUGGAGGUAUCAGAAGUGCGAAUGCUGACAUAAGUAACGAUAAAGCGGGUGAAAAGCCC